UUGACCUCGGAUCAGGUGGGAG
RNAcentral lists this ribosomal RNA (22 nucleotides) under Dirina astridae. RNAcentral's name for it is "partial large subunit ribosomal RNA". The record is from RNAcentral. Lineage: Eukaryota; Fungi; Ascomycota; Arthoniomycetes; Arthoniales; Roccellaceae.